RNAcentral lists this unclassified non-coding RNA (274 nucleotides) under Hevea brasiliensis (rubber tree). The record is from RNAcentral. Lineage: Eukaryota; Viridiplantae; Streptophyta; Magnoliopsida; Malpighiales; Euphorbiaceae.
CAAGUGUUGCAUUUGCUCGGCUUUGUACCUGGUUUCGCUCCAGACCCAUCACAGGUAGCACAAGCCUCGAGACGAGUAAUCUCAAUCUCCUUUUCCACACCGAAAACCGCCUCUUUGAAAUUGAGGAGGAGAUUGUAGCUCUCGUCGUCCCCCUGCAUAGGACGAUUUCGAGCAGCUCUGCUGUUUCCUCCCAUUCCACCCAUUCCGCCCAUGCCUUCGAAUAUUGACUCAAAGAUAUCAAAAGGGUUGUUGAAAUCCCCCAUGCCCAUACCAG